Molecule: long non-coding RNA, 740 nt
Filed under: Anas platyrhynchos platyrhynchos (common mallard)
Lineage: Eukaryota; Metazoa; Chordata; Aves; Anseriformes; Anatidae
Description: lncRNA (ENSAPLG00000030651.1)
Source: RNAcentral
AUGAAAAGAUCAAGGGGCUGCAUCUGCGAAGUCCCAACAGGAACAGAGUUGGGUGUCUUACGGUUAUUGACAAAAGAAUCCAAAUGUGAAGCAAAUUGUGCUCGGAUGCUUCAAAGCCAGAAGGCAACGGAAAGAGACAGAACUUCUCUGCUAAGGUCAGAUGCCUGCAAGCAAUGUGAACACAGAGCCGCUUUCUUCCUCUGCCCUGGCUGCCCUGGUGCUGUUAAACCCCACAAGUGUUCGUCUCUGGGUGCACUGCAGGUUUCUUCAGCUGGCUGCCCUGCACGUCCCUUCUGUGGCUCAGGCGUGUGCUUGGUACAUGCCGAGGUUUUCUUCCCCAUCCCCUGGAAGUUUCUCCAUGCCACGGGACACAGGCAAAGAGCAAACGUGUGUGUUGUUAUUGCAAGAGACAACUGCAGUCCCAGACGGAGGGUGACUCCAGGCAGUGGUGAUCACAGCAGCUCCCUGCUGCCAUCUUAGCAGGCCGUGUACCCUUAGGAAAACACAUUUUCCCUCUUCUACAAUCAUAUCUUUGUUAUCUGGCGGGCUGUCCUAAGGUCUUAGAGGUAAGAGAGGGUACAGGGGAGUGGUGAGUUUGCUGCAAGACUGUUGAAAAGAAGGGUUGUGGUGGUUGCACUCGUGGGCAGCCGAGGUCCACCACAACCGCUCCCUCACUCCUCUUCCUCAAAGGGAAAAGGGAAGAAAAUAAAAUGAAAAAGGCUCAAGGGUUGAGAUAAGGA